Long non-coding RNA from Saccostrea cuccullata (small rock oyster), 272 nucleotides. RefSeq lists it as uncharacterized. Lineage: Eukaryota; Metazoa; Mollusca; Bivalvia; Ostreida; Ostreidae. The transcript has 3 exons. The record is from RefSeq and is a predicted model, not a curated record.
UCCUUGGAAAAGAAAUUUUGGAUUAACAACCAAUGCAACAGAUGAGACCGGAAGAUUUUUCGACGGAUUGAGAAAUAUAAUCACUGGUUUUUUAUAUAGUCAUGAAGAAGAUGAAAGUUUGAAAAUUCAUCUUGACAAAUGUUCCAAAGAUAUCAACUGUAAACUUUCUACUGUCCUAGACAAAAACGAAAAAGGUGUCAUGUUUCUUUGCAUAUUGGCAGAAAAAUCGGAAGUAUGUUACAUGUCCAGUUGUUCUUGUCAGAAAAGGCAAG